UACGGAGGAUGCGAGCGUUAUCCGGAUUUAUUGGGUUUAAAGGGUGCGCAGGCGGAGGUGCAAGUCAGCGGUCAAAUUGCGGGGCUCAACCCCGGCCUGCCGUCGGAACUGGGUGCCUUGAGUGGGCGAGAAGUAUGCGGAAUGCGUGGUGUAGCGGUGAAAUGCAUAGAUAUCGCGCAGAACCCCGAUUGCGAAGGCAGCGUACCGGCUCCACACUGACGCUGAGGCACGAAAGCGUGGGUAUCGAACAGG
RNAcentral lists this ribosomal RNA (252 nucleotides) under uncultured Bacteroidales bacterium. RNAcentral's name for it is "partial 16S ribosomal RNA". It matches the Rfam family "Bacterial small subunit ribosomal RNA", at positions 524 to 776 of the family's 1533-position model. The record is from RNAcentral. Lineage: Bacteria; Pseudomonadati; Bacteroidota; Bacteroidia; Bacteroidales.